RNAcentral lists this long non-coding RNA (1161 nucleotides) under Homo sapiens (human). RNAcentral describes it as "HSALNT0360674". The record is from RNAcentral. Lineage: Eukaryota; Metazoa; Chordata; Mammalia; Primates; Hominidae.
UCGGCCAGGCCUGAGAUGCCGGGAGGGUUUGACCCUGGGGCUGCAUGGACAGCUUAGCGCUCGGCCGCUGGCGACAGCGGAGGGCGGAGGAUCUGCAGGUUCCGGGGGACGUGAAACGGGUAUGCAGGAGAUUAGAAGCCAGUGGGCAUGAGCGUGGCUGCCACCAGGUGAAUGCCUGUGCCCUGGCGUCCUGGGGCCCAGAGGACCGGGAGCUUCCAUCAAGAGGCUGCCUCCCAGCACCAAGGCCAGAGAGUGGCCAGGGGAGGCUAAGUACAGGGAUUUCUCAGAAUGGUGGAAGGAGCUCAGCCCAGCCUUGCCCAAGAUGUAUUGCAGGGGAAUCUAUGGAGUUUUGCUCUCGUUGCCCACGCUGGAGUGCAAUGGCAUGAUCUCAGCUCACUGCAACCUCCGCUUCCCAGGUUCAAGCGAUUCUCCUGCCUCAGCCACCCAAGUAGUUGGGAUUACAGGUGUGUGCCACCAUGCCUGGCGACUUUUGUAUUUUCAGUAGAGAUGGGGUUUCACCUUGUUGAUCAGGCUGGUCUCAAACUCCUGACCUCAAGUGAUCCACCCACCUCGGCCUCCCAAAGUGCUGGGAUUACAGGCGAGAGCCACCGUGCCCGGCCAUGACCUUCUUUAGUUCUUUGACCAUAUUUAAAAUGGCUGAGGUGAAGUCUCUGGGACAUUUUAGCCAUACCAAGAAUCAUUAGAAGAUGCAAGCUGGAAAAAAGAAGGUCCCAGUUUUGGUUUUGAACCCUUCAUGUUGCAGCAAAUGUGAAUCUCCUACAGAUGGGUUUGGGGACUUACCUGUUCAAAUAGCAGCCCGGUGUCCUCUGUGGGUGGGGGGAGGUUUGUCUGUCCUUUCAUUCUAGUAAAUCCACCAUCCUCUGCACGAGAGCCAGGAGAAUCCACAUCACUUCAAAAGAGCCCCCAAAUCCUUACUACGUACUACAGCCUCCUUUCGAAUGUUCCUGGUUGAGAGGGAGAUCAAUUGCAUUAUUUACAAGUCAAAAAAUUUUGUAUCAAACUUCCUAUGAGCUUGGGCACUCAUGGCCUAUGGAGGCCCACCCAGACGCAGCCCCGCCAUCAUGCUUUUUCGUUGUUUUGUGGAUGUACCCAGGGCUAUUUACACACUCUUUCAUUAAAAGGCUUAUUUUUAUAUUUAAA